GAAAGAAGAAGAACGGCUGACGGAGACUAACGUUGUACCUGUUUACUUGUUACAUGUAUUUAAGCCCGCAGUUUCCACCCCCCGUGUUCCGCCCACUGCCACGUCCCUUUCUUUGGCUCGGCUGUGGCUCAUCUCGGCGAUCGCUUCUGGCUGGGUCAAACGCUUUGGCGCUAUGGCGCUUCCACGACACAUCGUCUGUCUUUCCGGUUACCAAACUGGCCCCCAGAUGAUUCUUGUCUCAACACAAACGUUGUCAUUUCAGCACGCUCCAACGGUGACCCGCCACCAACCCUGACACCUCCAAUCUACAGCAGAACCUGGCAUAGGAGAGUUAUGCAACUUGGGCUCUACCACCACCACCACCACCACCAGUGUCUGGACUCCCAAGGGGGGGAUAUGCCUCGUCUCGGCUCGAGUUCCCGGCCCCGGGUCUAUCCUGCGGCAGGAUGGAGUCCAAGCC
Long non-coding RNA from Gasterosteus aculeatus aculeatus (three-spined stickleback), 460 nucleotides. The record is from Ensembl. NCBI's taxonomy places the organism in Eukaryota, Metazoa, Chordata, Actinopteri, Perciformes, Gasterosteidae.